Molecule: long non-coding RNA, 1184 nt
Filed under: Daphnia pulicaria
Lineage: Eukaryota; Metazoa; Arthropoda; Branchiopoda; Diplostraca; Daphniidae
Description: uncharacterized LOC124327372, transcript variant X2
Source: RNAcentral
AUUUGUACUACCCCAGCUCUCAACACAGCGCAGAAUUUUCACCCUUAGAUUGUUUCGCUGAUUACGAUGAGAGAUGGCGUUUUCUUUUUCUUGAGGAAAACGAGAUACUGAUUUUGCAGAGGAGAAUAUUUUAUUCAACAUGACUGUUUGAUGAUAAAGUUAGUUGGAACUCUAAUUCAAACACCGAUAACCGUUGUUGCUGCUGCCUUACAGCCACAGGCAGGAAAAUUAUUGUUUUAUUCAGAAAAUUGGAAAGCUGCUGGAGUAAUCUGGUGUUUAUGCUCAUUUUAAUCAUUUCGUGCCAGCUAGUGAAUGCCGAAAGGCAUGUCGAAUUCAAGUUGAGCUGCUGCGUGAUGUCUGGAAGCAAGCAAUCCAGCCGUUGCGUUCAGUCAUGAACAGAAAUCUGAUGGCUGUCAAUAGGUGGCUGUCAAAAGUUGGCUGGAAUGUCCACCAGGUAGCGCGAGUGUCUUCAUGGACGCAUUUCGGCCAUUUUGUUCCAAGACGUAGCAGAAAUGGGUUGCUGGUCGUGACGUUUCUCACGAUGAAAAUUAAAAGGUGAUUUAGCAUGUGGAAACCACUUUGCCAAGUCAUUCAACUCAGACUUGGAAGUGCCUGUACAUUGCCGAAAUGGCGUGCCUCGUGCGUCUCGCUGCCUGUUCUUAGGCGUAUGUCUCAUCCCAUACAACAGCAAAAAGUAUAACAAAUACUUCUUUAACGCUGUUGGUUUCCUUGUUGCCGCCAAAUGGUGAAAGGUGUGACAAAGACAGAUUGAACUGUUGUAUGCAGCAUGAGGUUGCAGUGUAAUCCAGAAGUAGCUGUGCUGGUGUUGCCCUUAAAUUGCUGUGAUGUUGUAGCUGAGCUGUUCCAUAUGGGUUCCUGACUUGAAAAUUUUUGUGUUGUUGUUUGCCUGCCAGUAUUUUGUGUUGUGGUUUCAAAUAGUUUGAUCUGUCGUCUUUUGAGUUUUCAUUCAAUCAUGCGGUAUACAACUGAGGCAACUUGAUCAAUAUCAGGUUUGACACAGUCGAGAACUGCUAGAUUAAACAAGCUUUCUGCGCCAAACAAAUAAUAACUUACAUCAUGUUAUUAUCGCGGUAGAGAAAGCGACAGGCCCCCCCCCUGGGGGUCACAGGAAAAAUAAAUGUAUGUGAAUAUUAAAAAAUAAAUUUUGAAAGUAAUAAAAUAUU